RNAcentral lists this ribosomal RNA (253 nucleotides) under uncultured bacterium. Its description in RNAcentral is "partial 16S ribosomal RNA". It matches the Rfam family "Bacterial small subunit ribosomal RNA", at positions 524 to 776 of the family's 1533-position model. The record is from RNAcentral.
UACGUAGGGCGCAAGCGUUAUCCGGAAUUAUUGGGCGUAAAGAGCUCGUAGGCGGUUUGUCGCGUCUGCCGUGAAAGUCCGGGGCUCAACUCCGGAUCUGCGGUGGGUACGGGCAGACUAGAGUGAUGUAGGGGAGACUGGAAUUCCUGGUGUAGCGGUGAAAUGCGCAGAUAUCAGGAGGAACACCGAUGGCGAAGGCGGAUCUCUGGGCCAUUACUGACGCUGAGGAGCGAAAGCGUGGGGAGCGAACAGG